This 253-nucleotide ribosomal RNA is filed under the name uncultured bacterium. Its description in RNAcentral is "partial 16S ribosomal RNA". It matches the Rfam family "Bacterial small subunit ribosomal RNA", at positions 524 to 776 of the family's 1533-position model. The record is from RNAcentral.
UACGAAGGGGGCUAGCGUUGCUCGGAAUCACUGGGCGUAAAGCGCACGUAGGCGGCUUUUUAAGUCAGAGGUGAAAUCCUGGAGCUCAACUCCAGAACUGCCUUUGAUACUGAGAGGCUUGAGUCCGGGAGAGGUGAGUGGAACUGCGAGUGUAGAGGUGAAAUUCGUAGAUAUUGGGAAGAACACCGGUGGCGAAGGCGGCUAUCUGGACCGACAUUGACGCUGAGGCGCGAAAGCGUGGGGAGCGAACAGG